UCCUAAAUAUGCGCGAACUACACCAUUUUAAACCCGGGAGUUUUUAGCAGCAGCAUGGUUAAGCACAUUGCCUUAGCUGCAAUUUGUUGAGUGCAUAGGGGAGAGUGGGGCUAAAUGGACGAAAUUUUUGGGGACAUAACAUUUAUCAAAUAGAUGCUAACUAGUUAAAAUAUCAUAUUUGGGAUCUCGCUAAUGAUUAGCCCAAUAGGGACGCAUGCUUCGGAUGUAACGAUUCACCGAUACUCAUCGGUCCCCGACUCAAAUGUUUACGUGUAUCAGUCCGCGGACCCAAACAGCAUGCGUUGGUCAGAAAAUUGAUUCAAAACAUCAGUGACAACUGAUGCGCCUUCUCCUUUAGUGUCAAACUGCAUGUAACGGUGUUGAUUCAUUGAUCUACAAGUCAUUUUGCUUGCCGAACCACCCCAGGCAAUAUCAGUAGCCUACUCAAACCGCGCACUCUUCUCAGCUUCACGAGGUCCACCUCCUUCCCCAGCAGGUCGUAAAGCGACGCUCCUUUAGACGUGAUCUCCGAGGCCAGCUGUCUCGCUGCCUUCAGGUCUGCAAUCUGGAUCACAGACAAGAGAAGGAGAAUUCAGAGGGAAAAGCCUGGAAAAGUACAUUUGAAAACACUAACACGUAAUACAGACAAUAACAUUGCUUGACGAUAAGAGUUGUUUUCCUUUCCUUUUUUGUGUGCAAUUUUCAUGGUGGUGUCACCAGCCACAUCAUCAAUAACUAAAUAUAUUGUAAUAGUGGGGAAAAACACCAAGGGCCCAGAUUCACAAAACACUUCUUUACGCAAAAAACAUAAGUAAAAGGAAAAAAAGUUCAUAAGAUAGUUCGUAAGUGUAAUUCAUCAACAAUAUCUUAAGAUUUAAUGAUUUUCUUAUGAACUUUUCAAACAUCUUCUUACGAAUGUUUGUUGCAAGGCAACCAUUUUAGCUAUCUAGCUAGCAAUCAUGUUAGCAUAUUUCGUACUGAAAUUACUGUUCUAAAACAUGUUCUUGGGUUUAAAAUAAUCAAUAAUGCAAUGUAUCGUUCUGCAACAUAAGCAUAAAGCGCCAGGUAAGUGUGGGGAUAUCCAACCCUUGUCAUAUGAUGAAGCUGUAAAGUCUCAAAGUAACACUUUGCUUGUUUGCAAUGUAUGCCAUUUAAACAUAGUGCCAAACAUUGGGAUGCCGGACACAAGCAGGGAUGAUGAGUGCAAUCUAGAUGAGAUUGUUGAUGUGUCAGCAGUGGGCACAGAAAAUGACAUGUUUGACUGUUUCAAUCGGAGAGGACUUCACUUUAUUCAUGUCAACACAUGGAGCCUGCUGCCGAAAUUAGAGGAAUUAAAGCUCCUCGCUUCUAACACCUGGGCUGCAGUAGUUGCUGUGACUGAGACAUGGCUCGACGGGUCAAUUGAGGACAAUGAGGUUGAGCUACCUGGUUAUAGCAUUCAUAGAAUUGACUGAAAUGGUGGCGGCAUGUGCGUUUUAAUGAUGUGCAUUUUAAUCCUCAUUCAGAUCUAAAUGUCGUAAUAUAGUUGUUGGUGUGUGCUAUUGGACUCCUAAGCAGAAUCAUUUCUAUAAUUACUUGAAUCAAAUUGCUGUGAUCACAAUGUAUUUGCUGAUAGAGAAUAUAUUCUGCUUGGUGAUUGUAAUACAAAUGUGCAGUUAUCACCCAAGAAAUGUACACUAGUAAAUGCCCUGUAUAACUGAAACAACUGAUUAUUGAGCCAACCCGGGUGUGUAGAAAGUAAGUCAACUUAGGU
Molecule: long non-coding RNA, 1753 nt
Organism: Oncorhynchus kisutch (coho salmon)
Lineage: Eukaryota; Metazoa; Chordata; Actinopteri; Salmoniformes; Salmonidae
Exons: 2
Source: RefSeq, a predicted model, not a curated record